This 517-nucleotide ribosomal RNA is filed under the name uncultured bacterium. RNAcentral's name for it is "bacterial SSU rRNA". It matches the Rfam family "Bacterial small subunit ribosomal RNA", at positions 28 to 526 of the family's 1533-position model. The record is from RNAcentral.
GACGAACGCUGGCGGCGUGCUUAACACAUGCAAGUCGAACGAUGAAGGAGAGAGCUUGCUCUUUUUGGAUUAGUGGCGAACGGGUGAGUAACACGUGGGUAACCUGCCCAUCAGAAGGGGAUAACACUUGGAAACAGGUGCUAAUACCGUAUAACAAUCAAAACCGCAUGGUUUUGAUUUGAAAGGCGCUUUCGGGUGUCGCUGAUGGAUGGACCCGCGGUGCAUUAGCUAGUUGGUGAGGUAACGGCUCACCAAGGCCACGAUGCAUAGCCGACCUGAGAGGGUGAUCGGCCACAUUGGGACUGAGACACGGCCCAAACUCCUACGGGAGGCAGCAGUAGGGAAUCUUCGGCAAUGGACGAAAGUCUGACCGAGCAACGCCGCGUGAGUGAAGAAGGUUUUCGGAUCGUAAAACUCUGUUGUUAGAGAAGAACAAGGAUGAGAGUAACUGUUCAUCCCUUGACGGUAUCUAACCAGAAAGCCACGGCUAACUACGUGCCAGCCGCCGCAGUAAAAC